UUUCCGUAGGUGAACCUGCGGAAGGAUCAUUAAUGAGUUGUCAUGGGGUUCGAUGCUGGCAGCCAAUUUUUGGAUGCAUGUGCUUGCCCUAACAAUCAACUUCCAAACACCUGUGCACAUUUUUGAGGGAGUCUUGAGUUGGUUGCCGCUCUUGGGUGAUUUUCUCACAUUCCCUUAAAUCAUUAUACGCUAUUAACAAUGUUGAACGUGCUCUGUGCCGCAAGGCUAUUAAUAUAAUACAACUUUUAACAACGGAUCUCUUGGCUCUC
Molecule: unclassified non-coding RNA, 269 nt
Filed under: plant metagenome
Description: partial contains small subunit ribosomal RNA, internal transcribed spacer 1, and 5.8S ribosomal RNA
Source: RNAcentral